UCCAGUUCUGCUUUGAGUUUCAGAGGCUGCUCCUCUCCGUGUGGUGGAAGAUCACCCCUUCCUGGCGUCCCCCAGAGCUGCCAUUUGAUGCAGAGGCCUGAGGCGAACCCCUGCCCGCACCCCUCCCUGCCAAAUUCCRGGAGCCAGUUGAAUUUCAAAAGUCCGCUGGCCACAGGACUGGUGCGCAGGCUUGGACCUCUGACCACAGCCAGCUGAGCCUGGGAACACGGGCAGCCGCGGACUGCCCAGCCUGGAGCAGCCGUCUUUGACCCCGACCCUCGGAGAAGCAG
RNAcentral lists this long non-coding RNA (290 nucleotides) under Urocitellus parryii (Arctic ground squirrel). RNAcentral's name for it is "lncRNA (ENSUPAG00010008811.1)". Lineage: Eukaryota; Metazoa; Chordata; Mammalia; Rodentia; Sciuridae. The record is from RNAcentral.